CUACGGAGGGUGCAAGCGUUAAUCGGAAUUACUGGGCGUAAAGCGCGCGUAGGCGGUUUGGUAAGUCGGAUGUGAAAGCCCCGGGCUCAACCUGGGAAUUGCAUUCGAUACUGCCAGACUAGAGUAUGGUAGAGGGAAGUGGAAUUCCGGGUGUAGCGGUGAAAUGCGUAGAUAUCCGGAGGAACACCAGUGGCGAAGGCGACUUCCUGGACCAAUACUGACGCUGAGGUGCGAAAGCGUGGGGAGCAAACAGGAUUAGAAACCCUAGUAGUCC
RNAcentral lists this ribosomal RNA (274 nucleotides) under uncultured bacterium. RNAcentral's name for it is "partial 16S ribosomal RNA". It matches the Rfam family "Bacterial small subunit ribosomal RNA", at positions 523 to 796 of the family's 1533-position model. The record is from RNAcentral.